CAGGGCGACGAUCGAGGAGGUGGAGGGCGACGUCUGUGAGCUCGAGUCCAAACUAGACAAGCUGGUGAAGCUAUGCAUCGGGAUGAUAGAUGCUGGAAAGGCGUACAACACGGCCAACAGGCAGUUUGUGAACGGGAUUCAGGAGUUGGCACAGACUUCUGCCAAAGAUGUAGUCAUCGAGUCCAGCCUGAGCAAGUUUGCAGAGAAUCUUCAAGAGAUGAUCAGCUAUCACACA
This is a long non-coding RNA of Sinocyclocheilus grahami, 235 nucleotides long. RefSeq lists it as uncharacterized. The record is from RefSeq and is a predicted model, not a curated record. The transcript is spliced from 3 exons. Lineage: Eukaryota; Metazoa; Chordata; Actinopteri; Cypriniformes; Cyprinidae.